AAAAUUAAACCCCCUGGGGGAAGUACGGUUCGCCAAGAUUUAAAAACUCAAAAGGGUAUUGACGGGGGACCCGCCACCAAGCGGUGGAUGAAUUUGGAUUUAUAUUCGAUGUCAACCGGCGAAAGACCUUAACCUGCUCCUUGACCAUGUUCAAGGAAGGAUCUAAGGGGAUUAGGAUUGUGCCUUUCCGGGAACCUUGAACCACAGGUGCUGCAUGGGCUGUUCGUCAGCCUCGUGUCGUGAGAUGUUUUUCCUUAAAGUGACGCAAACGAAGCGCAACCCCUUGCUAACUAGUUGCCCCCAAUUAAGUUUUGGCACUUCUAGUGGGGACUGCCGGUGAUAAGCCGGAGGAAGGUGGGGAUGACGUCAAGUCCUCAUGGCCCUUAUGAGCAGGGCUUCACACGUCAUACAAUGGGUAGGGUACAGACGGUCGCUAAGCCGCGAGGUGGAGCUAAUCCGAGAAAGCCUAUCGUAGUCUGGAUUGUAGUCUGCAACUUGACUACAUGAAGUCGGAAUCGCUAGUAAUCGCAGAUCAGAAUGCUGCGGUGAAUACGUUCCCGGGUCUUGUACACACCGCCCGUCACACCAUGGGAGUGGAGGAUACCAGAAGUAGUUAGGCUAACCGUAAGGAU
RNAcentral lists this ribosomal RNA (632 nucleotides) under uncultured bacterium. Its description in RNAcentral is "bacterial SSU rRNA". It matches the Rfam family "Bacterial small subunit ribosomal RNA", at positions 860 to 1448 of the family's 1533-position model. The record is from RNAcentral.